GGUGCUGGUGGCGUAGGUGAUGCCGAUACCCUUGAUGGCGCGGGGAUCGUAGGCGGGAAUCGCCUGGUUCUUCACCACCGGUACCC
This 86-nucleotide transfer RNA is filed under the name Geobacteraceae bacterium. Its description in RNAcentral is "tRNA-Lys". Lineage: Bacteria; Pseudomonadati; Thermodesulfobacteriota; Desulfuromonadia; Geobacterales; Geobacteraceae. The record is from RNAcentral.